CUCAGUAACAGGGUGUCCGCAUUUUACGGUGCCGCCGAGGGCCGGGGAUGCACCGGCAGGUCUCAAGUCUUCCUCCAGUCCUUAUAAACACCACAGGAAAGUGAUCUCAAACUGGGAAUUAAAAAAUAACUGUCAGUCAAAGGGAUUUCCAGAUAACCAAGCCAUCCCAACAUGGAUUCCCUCACCAAGGGAAUAAAAUCUUCCUGCCAAAGACUUCCCACCUAACAAGGAACAAUGAAUUUACUCCAGAUUUACUCCAGACUCUGCAGCCUCAGUCACACAAACCUACCAGGGAAGCAAAGAAAACUCCUUCCAGCCCUGCAGAGCCACACCACACACCGAGCUCCUCAGCUGCCUGCCCGAUGAUGCAAGGAGUGAAUAAGCAAGAAUAAAGACACAGAAACUGGGUGUUGUUUGUAGAAGUGAGGAGCGGAGCCCUCCACCCAGCGCUGGGGAUACCAGAGCUCUUGCACAACUCAGCUCUCAGCCUGCUGCUCCUUUUUAUGCAUCUCUGUCUCUGUGGUCGCUUUUUCACCAGGAGCACUCAGGAAGUUUCCUUUCCUCCCCAGCGGGGGGAGAAAGCAGCUCCCAGCGUGCGAGCAGCAGAGCUGGGAUGCCAGAGUGGGAUUCCUGCGUCAGGAUUUCCCUCAGCCUGUGCCGGCCUGCCAGGGCUGGCUCACGGGCAGCUAAUUCCUGCUACUGAGCUCUAAGAAUUGGAAGAUGAUCAUUAACUACAAUUGGUUUGAAAGCUUCCAGUUUUGUAGAUGUUGAGUGA
Long non-coding RNA from Cinclus cinclus, 775 nucleotides. RefSeq lists it as uncharacterized. NCBI's taxonomy places the organism in Eukaryota, Metazoa, Chordata, Aves, Passeriformes, Cinclidae. The record is from RefSeq and is a predicted model, not a curated record. The transcript is spliced from 4 exons.